Molecule: transfer RNA, 85 nt
Filed under: Cyclosorus interruptus
Lineage: Eukaryota; Viridiplantae; Streptophyta; Polypodiopsida; Polypodiales; Thelypteridaceae
Description: tRNA-Leu
Rfam family: tRNA
About the family: Transfer RNA (tRNA) molecules are approximately 80 nucleotides in length. Their secondary structure includes four short double-helical elements and three loops (D, anti-codon, and T loops).
Source: RNAcentral
GGGGAUAUGGCGAAAUGGUAGACGCAGCGGACUCAAAAUCCGUUGGUUUCACAGGACCGUGAGGGUUCGAGUCCCUCUAUCCCCA